Molecule: ribosomal RNA, 398 nt
Filed under: uncultured Streptococcus sp.
Lineage: Bacteria; Bacillati; Bacillota; Bacilli; Lactobacillales; Streptococcaceae
Description: bacterial SSU rRNA
Rfam family: Bacterial small subunit ribosomal RNA
Source: RNAcentral
GAUAGCCACCCCAGCCCCGUGGUGAGAGAAAGCAUUCCGGUCUGCAGCACAUUAAUUUUCGUAGAAAGGUUAAUUCCUCAUCUGUAGCAAUUUUGCGGUGUCCCCGGAAGAAGGACCGGUUUAAUCCGUUCCAGCAGCCUCGGUAAUAAGGAGGUUGCCGGCCUUAAUCGGAUUUUUUGGGCUUAAAGCGCACGCUGGCGGUUGAAUAAGUUUUAUUUUAAAAUCUCGGGGUCAACCUUUGAAAUUCAUUUAAAACUGUCUUCCUUGGAUUCUCGUAGAGGGGGGCAGAAUUCCAGGUGUAGCGGUGAAAUGUGUAGAGAUCUGGAGGAAUCCCGAUGGGGGAGGCAGCCCCCUUACAAAGACUGACGCUUAGGUUGAAAGCGUGGGGCUCAAACAAG